CAGAUAGUCUGUCUUUAUUUACAAAUAAUGUAAGCCUCAGACAGACAUUCCUCAGAGUGGGCCUCCUGCCUGGUGCUCAGUCACUGCAGCUGGAGCAGAGGAUGACAAGCACAGCAGCAGCAGCAGCAGCAGCAGCACUGAUGGUGAACAGCCUCUGCUGAGCUCUGGAGACAAAGCUGCACCUUCCUGCUCUUACAACAGAAGAAGACAAGUACAGGAAAGCCCUACCAAAAUCUUCCUCUGUGUACAAAAUGACCAGUCUUUGCUCACAUUGCAGAAGGCACUGAGAAGUUUUAUCUUCAGUAGAACAUAAGGAAAUGUAAUCUCAUCGUGCUUCCCCGUAACCCAUAGAAUAUUCUGGUCAACACAAGGUUUUUCAGCAGAUACUUCCAUUCUCCCUGCUUGGCUGGAGACUUAAGGACAGGAAUAACCAGCCCUGUUCAGGUCCAACAAAGUGAGGGAGAGAAAGUGGUGCAGCCUUUGUGCUGCUGCCUGGCAUCUUGACGAGUUUACUGUUCAAUGUUGCUUUCUACGAACUUGGCAAAAAGCUUCAGUCUCUCUGAGUCCUGCCUUUCUGUCCACUUGCAUUAGGAGUCUGUGAAAGAAGGGACCACCUUUCAGUCACUUCCUGGGGGACAAUGGGCUGGAGGGCACGGGGAGUGCAGGCCCUGCAGGAACCAUCUAUCUCCUGAGCAGAGGCACAGCUUUGCCGAGGGGAAGGGGAAGGUUUUGCUGAGUCAGCGCCUGGAGGACCAGCUGAGGUCCCAUUUGCUCACAUGCUGAAGUGCUCUGAUGAAUUACAGCCCAGGGCAGCCAGCUGCCAGCCCUUCGCUUCCUGAUUAAAAACAAAACAGCCUUUCCAGAAGCUGCUCAUGUGCUGUGAGCAGAGUCAUUCAAGGUCCCCCUGUUUUCCUGAUUAUUCCUCUGUGCCUGCCUAAAAAAUCUCCAUCCACUGCUUUAAGGAGUGCUGUAGUUGGAGCAAACUGUAUGGAAAGAACUUCCAAACUGUAUGGAAAGAAUAUUUUCUAAUUAUGUGCCAG
This 1040-nucleotide long non-coding RNA is filed under the name Zonotrichia albicollis (white-throated sparrow). Its description in RNAcentral is "lncRNA (ENSZALG00000017143.1)". The record is from RNAcentral. Lineage: Eukaryota; Metazoa; Chordata; Aves; Passeriformes; Passerellidae.